GACGAACGCUGGCGGCGUGCUUAACACAUGCAAGUCGAACGGAAAGGCCAUGCUUUUGUGGGGUGCUCGAGUGGCGAAAGCGUGAGUAACACGUGAGUAACCUGCCCUUGACUUUGGGAUAACUUCAGGAAACUGGGGCUAAUACCGGAUAGGAGAUCCUGCUGCAUGGUGGGGGUUGGAAAGUUUCGGCGGUGGUGGAUGGACUCGCGGCUUAUCAGCUUGUUGGUGGGGUAGUGGCUUACCAAGUCUUUGACGGGUAGCCGGCCUGAGAGGGGGACCGGCCACAUUGGGACUGAGAUACGGCCCAGACUCCUACGGGAGGCAGCAGUGGGGAAUAUUGCACAAUGGGCGGAAGCCUGAUGCAGCAACGCCGCGUGCGGGAUGACGGCCUUCGGGUUGUAAACCGAUUUCUCCUGUGACGAAGCGUGAGUGACGGUAAUGGGUAAAGAAGCAACGGCUAACUACGUG
RNAcentral lists this ribosomal RNA (468 nucleotides) under uncultured bacterium. Its description in RNAcentral is "partial 16S ribosomal RNA". It matches the Rfam family "Bacterial small subunit ribosomal RNA", at positions 28 to 507 of the family's 1533-position model. The record is from RNAcentral.